This 103-nucleotide microRNA precursor is filed under the name Marmota monax (woodchuck). The record is from RNAcentral. Lineage: Eukaryota; Metazoa; Chordata; Mammalia; Rodentia; Sciuridae.
AGUAGAAUUGUUGGGUCAUAUGGUAAUCCUAUAUUUAACAACUUGAGGAACUCUCAGACUGUUUUCCAAAGCAGGUACACCAUUUAAUUUUCCCAUUAGCAGU